This 1469-nucleotide long non-coding RNA is filed under the name Anas zonorhyncha (Eastern spot-billed duck). RNAcentral describes it as "lncRNA (ENSAZOG00000007529.1)". Lineage: Eukaryota; Metazoa; Chordata; Aves; Anseriformes; Anatidae. The record is from RNAcentral.
UCCUCCUCGGGGACUCCAAAAUCCUCCUUGGGGAGCCCAAAUCCUCCUCGGUGGCAUCAAAAUCCUACUCGGGGGCUCCAAAUUCAUCCUCAGCGGCCUCAAAUUCUACUCAACGGCCUCAAAAUCCUCCUUGGGGACUCCAAAAUCCUCCUCGGCGGCCUCAAAAUCCUCGGGGACUCCAAAUCAUCCUUGGAGACUCCAAAUUCCUCUUCAACGGCACCAAAAUUCUCCUCGGCGGCCUCAAAAUCCUCCUCGGGGACUCCCAAUUCCUCUUCAACGGCACCAAAAUCCUCCUUGGGGACUUCAAAAUCCUCCUCGGCGGCCUCAAAUCUUUCUGGGGGGCCCAAAUGCUCCUCGGGGACCUCAAAUUCUCCUUGGGGACUCCAAAAUCCUACUCGGUGGCCUCAAAAUCCAACUCGGGGACUGCAAAUCCUGCUCGGGGACACCAAAUCCUACUCAUCGGCCUCAAAUCCUCCUUGGGGACCCCAAAUGCUCCUUGGGGACUCCAAAUUCUACUCAACGGCCUCAAAAUCCUCCUCGGGGACUCCAAGUCCUCCUCGGUGGCCUCAAAUUCCUCCUCGGCCUUGCCUCGAUAGCGGUGUCACCUCCCUGGUGGCCUCCCUGGUGGCCUCCCUGGUGGCCUCACCUCCCCGGUGGCCUCCCCCCUUGGGCCUCCUAAAUGGUGUCACCUCCUUGGUGGCCUCCUCCUGAUGUCACCUCCCUGGUGGCCUCCCCAUCGAUGUCACCUCCUUGGUGGCCUCCCUGAUGGCCUCACCUCCUUGGUGGCCUCCCCAUCAAUGUCACCUUGUUGGUGGCCUCAACCCUUGGCCUCCUUGGUGGCCUCCUCAGCAAUGUCACCUUGUUGGUGGCCUUCCCAACAGUGUCACCUCCCUGGUGGCCUCCCUGAUGGCCUCCCCAUCAAUGUCACCUCCCCAGUGGCCUCAACCCUUGGUGGCCUCAACCCUUGGGCCUCCCCAUCAAUGUCACCUCCUUGGUGACCUCCCUGAUGGCCUCAACCCUUGGCCUCCUCACUGACGUCACCUCCCUGGUGGCCUUGGUGGCCUCCCCUUGGGCCUCCCCAUCAAUGUCACCUCCCUGGUGGCCUCCCCAUCAAUGUCACCUCCUUGGUGGCCUCAACCCUUGGCCUCCUCACUGAUGUCACCUCCCUGGUGGCCUCAACCCUUGGUGGCCUCCUGGUGGUGUCACCCCCCUGGUGACCUCCUUGGUGGCCUCCUCAUUAAUGUCACCUCCCUGGUGGCCUCAACCCUUGGGCCUCCACUGUGAUGUCACCUCCCUGGUGGCCUCCCCAUCAAUGUCACCUCCCUGGUGGCCUCAACCCUUGGUGGCCUCCACCGUGGUAUCACCUCCUUGGUGGCCUCCUGGUGGUGUCACCCCCUUGGUGGCCUCCCUGGUGGCCUCCCCAUCAAUGUCACCCCCUUGGUGGCCUCAACCCUUGGUGGCCUCCUCGG